RNAcentral lists this ribosomal RNA (472 nucleotides) under uncultured bacterium. RNAcentral's name for it is "bacterial SSU rRNA". It matches the Rfam family "Bacterial small subunit ribosomal RNA", at positions 40 to 507 of the family's 1533-position model. The record is from RNAcentral.
CGGCAUGCCUUACACAUGCAAGUCGAACGGCAGCACGGGAGCAAUCCUGGUGGCGAGUGGCGAACGGGUGAGUAAUAUAUCGGAACGUGCCCAGUCGUGGGGGAUAACGUAGCGAAAGCUACGCUAAUACCGCAUACGAUCUAUGGAUGAAAGCGGGGGAUCGCAAGACCUCGCGCGAUUGGAGCGGCCGAUAUCAGAUUAGCUAGUUGGUGAGGUAAUGGCUCACCAAGGCGACGAUCCGUAACUGGUCUGAGAGGAUGAUCAGUCACACUGGAACUGAGACACGGUCCAGACUCCUACGGGAGGCAGCAGUGGGGAAUUUUGGACAAUGGACGCAAGUCUGAUCCAGCCAUUCCGCGUGCAGGAUGAAGGCCCUCGGGUUGUAAACUGCUUUUGUACGGAACGAAAAGGUUUCUAUUAAUACUAGGAGCUCAUGACGGUACCGUAAGAAUAAGCACCGGCUAACUACGUG